This 482-nucleotide ribosomal RNA is filed under the name uncultured Rhodococcus sp. RNAcentral's name for it is "bacterial SSU rRNA". It matches the Rfam family "Bacterial small subunit ribosomal RNA", at positions 898 to 1382 of the family's 1533-position model. Lineage: Bacteria; Bacillati; Actinomycetota; Actinomycetes; Mycobacteriales; Nocardiaceae. The record is from RNAcentral.
AACUUAAAUGAAUUGACGGGGCCCGCACAAGCGGCGGAGCAUGUGGAUUAAUUCGAUGCAACGCGAAGAACCUUACCUGGGUUUGACAUACACCGGAAAACCGUAGAGAUACGGUCCCCCUUGUGGUCGGUGUACAGGUGGUGCAUGGCUGUCGUCAGCUCGUGUCGUGAGAUGUUGGGUUAAGUCCCGCAACGAGCGCAACCCUUGUCUUAUGUUGCCAGCACGUAAUGGUGGGGACUCGUAAGAGACUGCCGGGGUCAACUCGGAGGAAGGUGGGGACGACGUCAAGUCAUCAUGCCCCUUAUGUCCAGGGCUUCACACAUGCUACAAUGGCCAGUACAGAGGGCUGCGAGACCGUGAGGUGGAGCGAAUCCCUUAAAGCUGGUCUCAGUUCGGAUCGGGGUCUGCAACUCGACCCCGUGAAGUCGGAGUCGCUAGUAAUCGUGAAUCAGAAUGUCACGGUGAAUACGUUCCCGGGCCUU